This is a long non-coding RNA of Panicum virgatum (switchgrass), 571 nucleotides long. RefSeq lists it as uncharacterized. NCBI's taxonomy places the organism in Eukaryota, Viridiplantae, Streptophyta, Magnoliopsida, Poales, Poaceae. The record is from RefSeq and is a predicted model, not a curated record. The transcript is spliced from 2 exons.
UACAACCAGAGAGCACAUAAACUUUCUCAGCAGACAAUUUGCGAGCAAAGGAAGAGUUGAGGAAAAAAGUAUGGGUGCCUACAAGGUUAUCCUUGCUUUGGCACUGACCGCUCUCCUCGCCGGGCAUGUCUUUACCGGAGCUGUCGUUCGAGGUGACGAGCCCCAGAGCACACCCAUCCUUGAGAGUGGAAGAAAGGCAUCGUCUGAAGCCCGUGCUGGCGGCAUCAUCGACGAGAAGGCUUUCAACGCUCCACAGGGUUAUUUUCAUCCACCACGCCUUGCGCCUUGCCGCGGCAAGAUCUGUUGACGACCUCGUCGUUGAGAUCUGCUGCUGCGUUUGGUUCCAAUCAAGAAUUUCAUGGCCUUAUACGGAGUAUAUCUACCCCUACUCGUGUUAUAUUCUUCGUCCCACACACAUUGUAAUAAGUUUAGCGUACUUCCACUGAUGCUUGAGAUGAUCAAUUAAGGUAGUACCCGCGAUGUCUUAGAUAAUUUAAGAUGGGAAAAUAUGUGAUGCAAACUCAAUGGUACGUGAAAAUAUGGAAACUUGCCUCUUGAAGCAUCUGGUUAA